GGGUAACUGGUACUUUGAUCAAUAUAGGAAACACCGACCUUUAUAAUUUAAGGAUAAGAGUCCUACGUGUUUGUGCAUGUUCUUGACGCUUGUAUUUGGAACUUAGUUGCAUUUAUAUCUUGCACGUAUUUUCAACAGUGACAACAUGCUUUUUUGACACUAGCGUGUACCAUGAUUUAAACCCAAAAAGAAAAGGCCCGAC
RNAcentral lists this long non-coding RNA (202 nucleotides) under Vigna radiata. Its description in RNAcentral is "long non-coding RNA (VRAD_LNC009536)". The record is from RNAcentral. Lineage: Eukaryota; Viridiplantae; Streptophyta; Magnoliopsida; Fabales; Fabaceae.